RNAcentral lists this ribosomal RNA (318 nucleotides) under uncultured eukaryote. Its description in RNAcentral is "partial 18S ribosomal RNA". It matches the Rfam family "Eukaryotic small subunit ribosomal RNA", at positions 1470 to 1796 of the family's 1831-position model. The record is from RNAcentral.
CCCUUAGAUGUUCUGGGCCGCACGCGUGCUACACUGAGUGGAUCAGCGGGUCAGGUUGCGCGAAAGCGUUUCCUAAUCUUUAAAUCCGCUCGUGAUGGGGAUUGACGGUUGCAAUUUUCUGUCAUGAACGAGGAAUACCUUGUAAUCGCGAUUCAUCAUAUCGCGCUGAAUACGUCCCUGCCCUUUGUACACACCGCCCGUCGCUCCUACCGAUUGAGCGAUCCGGUGAAUGUUUUGGACUGGCGUCAGAAGCGGUUCGCUCCUGACACUACGAAAUUUUGUAAACCUUAUCGCUUAGAGGAAGGAAAAGUCGUAACA